UAGAGUUUGAUCAUGGCUCAGAACGAACGCUGGCGGCAGGCCUAAAACAUGCAAGUCGAGCGCCCAGCAAUGGGAGCGGCGGACGGGUGAAUAACACGUGGGAAUGUACCUUUCGGUACGGAACAACUCAGGGAAACUUGAGCUAAUACCGUAUGCGCCCUAACGGGGAAAGAUUUAUCGCCGAAAGAUCAGCCCGUGUCCGAUUAGCUAGUUGGUGAGGUAAUGGCUCACCAAGGCUCCGAUCGGUAGCUGGUUUGAGAGAACGAUCAGCCACACUGGGACUGAGACACGGCCCAGACUCCUACGGGAGGCAGCAGUUGGGAAUCUUGGACAAUGGGCGAAAGCCUGAUCCAGCCAUGCCGCGUGAGUGAUGAAGGCCUUCGGGUUGUAAAGCUCUUUUGCCAGGGAUGAUAAUGACCGUACCUGGAGAAUAAGCCCCGGCUAACUUCGUGCCAGCAGCCGCGGUAAUCCCAAUCGCC
This 479-nucleotide ribosomal RNA is filed under the name uncultured bacterium. RNAcentral describes it as "bacterial SSU rRNA". It matches the Rfam family "Bacterial small subunit ribosomal RNA", at positions 1 to 536 of the family's 1533-position model. The record is from RNAcentral.